AUACUUUUGGUUCACGAGAGUUGCGACUGAAGGAACCACCUGCCAAUUGCAGAAGUUAGAGAAGUGAAAUUGAAUAUAAAGACACAGAAGAGAGAACAUUUCUUGGAGAAAAAUGGUACAACUCCACAGUUUUAAAAUGAAUGGGUGGAUGGUUAAGUCAAAUAUAAUUUUCUGACUUAUUAACAUGCAAAACAAGAAAAUACAUGACAGUCUCCUAAUUAAUGAUGGCUGACGGAGCACAACAAGGUAGCCUUCAAAACCACUAGCUACUGCCUGAAUCAUCAACAGCUUCUGUGAUGGAUACAGUACUGUUGAACCUUUAGUAGCAUUUAUCUUUAUUGCUCUUUCAAGGGCUCAUAUUCUGCACCCAAACGUCUUGUCCUACUUUGGCUGAACCAGCCAAAUUGGAUAAAAAAUAUAGAUAACCAUGUAUUUAUCCCUCCUGCAGUUUAUACACCAAUAGUCAUGGCUUUUAUCAGCAAUAGAGGGAGUAGAAAGAUGUCCCAACUGCAUGGGAUUGCCUCACAUGUCAAUACGUAUCAUACAUUGAUGAUUGAGAUCAUUUAAAUCAGGUUUGAGCUUGAUUGCUACCCUCCAUCUCAAAAAAUUAUUGCCAGCAUAAAGAAGUCUCAAAUCAGCUUUGAUGAAUCAAUAUAACUCCCUGACAAAGAAGUUAACAUGACUUCAAACGUUCUAUUCUCGUAAAAGAUACCAAUUUAAUUAGACGUUUAAAUAACAAUGAUAAUCACAUGAACAACAAGCUCUCUGCUAUGCUAAGACAAAAGCAUCAAAAUAUGCUCUCCAAAUUGCAACCAAUAUCUAUAGCCACUUUGACCAUAAUUUACAAUCUCCAAAUGUCUGAUCUUGCUGUGGGAGUGGAGGGGGCUGGGGUAUAGAAGUAAGUGCCUUAGCAAAUCACAAACUACCAUUGACGGCUUCUAUAUUUUUUUCUUCAACACCUCGAAUCUACUCUCCAACCUUUUCAAACCCACCAUGAGCUUUAUUGAUCACAUUAUACAAAACAACAAGGACAUACCACCAAACCCAUCAGCCAUCGCAGAAACAAAAAUCAAAAUUAAGCUUCAUACACUCCUAAAAUACCAGUUUCUUAAAAAAAUUCGACAAGAACACCCCAAAGCAGUAAAUAUACGAGAACUACAAAAACCCAGAUAAAAUCCAUAACUUUAGGAAUCCUCGAGCUUAAAUUGAUUGAAAAAAAACUAAAAUUAAUAAAGAACUAUCAACUUGAUGAAAAGAAGUAAAAGCAAAGACUUAC
This 1276-nucleotide unclassified non-coding RNA is filed under the name Hevea brasiliensis (rubber tree). The record is from RNAcentral. Lineage: Eukaryota; Viridiplantae; Streptophyta; Magnoliopsida; Malpighiales; Euphorbiaceae.